RNAcentral lists this ribosomal RNA (446 nucleotides) under uncultured bacterium. RNAcentral describes it as "partial 16S ribosomal RNA". It matches the Rfam family "Bacterial small subunit ribosomal RNA", at positions 338 to 795 of the family's 1533-position model. The record is from RNAcentral.
CCUACGGGUGGCAGCAGUCGAGAAUCAUUCACAAUGGGGGAAACCCUGAUGGUGCGACGCCGCGUGGGGGAAUGAAGGUCUUCGGAUUGUAAACCCCUGUCAUGUGGGAGCAAAUUAAAAAGAUAGUACCACAAGAGGAAGAGACGGCUAACUCUGUGCCAGCAGCCGCGGUCAUACAGAGGUCUCAAGCGUUGUUCGGAAUCACUGGGCGUAAAGCGUGCGUAGGCUGUUUCGUAAGUCGUGUGUGAAAGGCGCGGGCUCAACCCGCUGACGGCACAUGAUACUGCGAGACUAGAGUAAUGGAGGGGGAACCGGAAUUCUCGGUGUAGCAGUGAAAUGCGUAGAUAUCGAGAGGAACACUCGUGGCGAAGGCGGGUUCCUGGACAUUAACUGACGCUGAGGCACGAAGGCCAGGGGAGCGAAAGGGAUUAGAUACCCUUGUAGUC